Molecule: transfer RNA, 73 nt
Filed under: Streptococcus suis
Lineage: Bacteria; Bacillati; Bacillota; Bacilli; Lactobacillales; Streptococcaceae
Description: tRNA-Asn
Rfam family: tRNA
About the family: Transfer RNA (tRNA) molecules are approximately 80 nucleotides in length. Their secondary structure includes four short double-helical elements and three loops (D, anti-codon, and T loops).
Source: RNAcentral
GGGAAUCAUAGCAAAGGGGUUAAUGCGACGGAUUAUUAAUCUGUAGGCGCAGGUUCGAUUCCUGCUGUUCCCA